RNAcentral lists this ribosomal RNA (492 nucleotides) under uncultured bacterium. RNAcentral describes it as "partial 16S ribosomal RNA". It matches the Rfam family "Bacterial small subunit ribosomal RNA", at positions 29 to 507 of the family's 1533-position model. The record is from RNAcentral.
AGUGAACGCUGGCGGUAGGCCUAACACAUGCAAGUCGAACGGCAGCACAGUAAGAGCUUGCUCUUACGGGUGGCGAGUGGCGGACGGGUGAGGAAUACAUCGGAAUCUACUUUUUCGUGGGGGAUAACGUAGGGAAACUUACGCUAAUACCGCAUACGGCCUACGGGUGAAAGCAGGGGAUCUUCGGACCUUGCGCGAUUGAAUGAGCCGAUGUCGGAUUAGCUAGUUGGCGGGGUAAAGGCCCACCAAGGCGACGAUCCGUAGCUGGUCUGAGAGGAUGAUCAGCCACACUGGAACUGAGACACGGUCCAGACUCCUACGGGAGGCAGCAGUGGGGAAUAUUGGACAAUGGGCGCAAGCCUGAUCCAGCCAUACCGCGUGAGUGAAGAAGGCCUUCGGGUUGUAAAGCCCUUUUGUUGGGAAAGAAAAGCAGCAGGUUAAUACCCCGCUGUUCUGACGGUACCCAAAGAAUAAGCACCGGCUAACUUCGUG